GUAAAACUUCAAUAAUAAUAAUCAAUGCAAGUUGAUGCAACAGAUGAAGCUAAUAGGUUUUUAUGCUAUAAUUAUGACUAGCUUUGUACAUCAGCCCAGAAUUGUAUAUAUUUAAAGAAAAAAUUUUCGGGGUGGUCUAUAGCUGCCCCUGCGAAACAAAAGCCUUUUCAGCUUCGAUCUCGCCACUUCCAUCUUCUGAAGAGGAAGGUUGCACGCAUAAGCUCAUGUUGUAUAUAAAAAUUAACGAGGGCGACCGAUUGAAUAUUCCAGGUAGAUAGCAUGGCCUCCCCUAUAAAACACAAUUCGCACAACUGUUCCAUUCAUCAGUUCAGAAAAAUCGGACACAGAUGAGACCUUUUCGUUCAUCAUGACUACAAAAAGAAAAUGGCAGACUUGGUUGCAACACUCUCAGCUAUGUUGUUCUGACUUCAUAUUUUUACAACUACUCUCGUGUUUGCACUUAUGACAAAUGCAUAUCUGGAAAUUAUGACUAUGAACACUCCAAAUACAUGGAAAAACCUAGAAGAAGUUGUGAAUAAACUAGUAUACAAGAGUAACGUAACAUAGCAUUUUAGUGCUACACUACAAACACUAUCUACAAGAUGAUGUGUGCAACGAUGCACAAAAAGUAGUAUAGCCAUUACCUCUAAAAGAUCAAAUUACCUAUUAGCAGAGAAGCACGCUUUCUCACAGCCAUUAGCCACACUAAAUUAUUCAGCAGCAU
RNAcentral lists this long non-coding RNA (724 nucleotides) under Gossypium barbadense (sea-island cotton). RNAcentral describes it as "long non-coding RNA (GBAR_LNC003642)". Lineage: Eukaryota; Viridiplantae; Streptophyta; Magnoliopsida; Malvales; Malvaceae. The record is from RNAcentral.